AUGGCUUUAUGUUUCACCAGUUCAAACUAUAACAUCACUGAAAUUACCAAUAAGAUCCUUCCUUUUCUUAUUAAUCUCAUACUUGGUGUUUACAUUUAUGUUUGUGCUGUUUUGAAUGUUUCAACGGUAUUCAGAUUCCAAAAUAGAUCAUUCUUAUCAUUGCACUUUGAGUAUAUCCCAUUGUCAACGCCUUUUGAUUAUGUUAUUCGGUUCAUGGUUCCAACAAGGAUGUUGGAUCUAAGGCAUUUCAAGUUAUUGAUUAUUUCUUACAGAUAG
Molecule: non-coding RNA, 276 nt
Organism: Vicia faba (fava bean)
Lineage: Eukaryota; Viridiplantae; Streptophyta; Magnoliopsida; Fabales; Fabaceae
Source: the annotation of a GenBank genome assembly